AUACUUACCUGGCAGGGGAGAUACCAUGAUCACGAAGGUGGUUUUCCCAGGAUGAGGCUUACCCAUUGCAUUCUGGAUGUGCUGACCCCUUGUGAUUUCCCCAAAUGCAGAAAACUCAACUGCAUAAUUUGUGGUAGUGGGUGACUGCAUUUGCACUCUUCCU
This is a small nuclear RNA of Dasypus novemcinctus (nine-banded armadillo), 163 nucleotides long. Its record names the gene U1. It matches the Rfam family "U1 spliceosomal RNA". From Rfam's summary of the family: U1 is a small nuclear RNA (snRNA) component of the spliceosome (involved in pre-mRNA splicing). Its 5' end forms complementary base pairs with the 5' splice junction, thus defining the 5' donor site of an intron. The record is from Ensembl. NCBI's taxonomy places the organism in Eukaryota, Metazoa, Chordata, Mammalia, Cingulata, Dasypodidae.